RNAcentral lists this ribosomal RNA (250 nucleotides) under uncultured Aquabacterium sp. Its description in RNAcentral is "partial 16S ribosomal RNA". It matches the Rfam family "Bacterial small subunit ribosomal RNA", at positions 524 to 773 of the family's 1533-position model. Lineage: Bacteria; Pseudomonadati; Pseudomonadota; Betaproteobacteria; Burkholderiales; Sphaerotilaceae. The record is from RNAcentral.
UACGUAGGGUGCAAGCGUUAAUCGGAAUUACUGGGCGUAAAGCGUGCGCAGGCGGUUUUGUAAGACAGGUGUGAAAUCCCCGGGCUUAACCUGGGAACUGCACUUGUGACUGCAAGGCUGGAGUACGGCAGAGGGGGAUGGAAUUCCGCGUGUAGCAGUGAAAUGCGUAGAUAUGCGGAGGAACACAGAUGGCGAAGGCAAUCCCCUGGGCCUGUACUGACGCUCAUGCACGAAAGCGUGGGGAGCAAAC